Molecule: non-coding RNA, 87 nt
Filed under: unclassified sequences
Description: DUF3800-VII RNA
Rfam family: DUF3800-VII RNA
Source: Rfam by way of RNAcentral
AGCAGGCAAGCGCAAGGGUUGUAGAGGUCGCUGGCGACAGCGGCAGCCCGGAUGGGUGGGAUCCUCGAACUUGGGGCCUGCAUCAUU